Long non-coding RNA from Gossypium arboreum, 309 nucleotides. RefSeq lists it as uncharacterized. Lineage: Eukaryota; Viridiplantae; Streptophyta; Magnoliopsida; Malvales; Malvaceae. The transcript has 2 exons. The record is from RefSeq and is a predicted model, not a curated record.
GAAGAAUUGGCACGAAAAGGAAAGGAGAAAGUUAUCGAGCAGUAAUCGCAAAAUUCGGGUUUGUAUUAAGUUAUCGAGGAGUAAUCGCAAAAUUCGGGUUAGUAAAAGUCAAGUGUCCCGGCUCAGCAUCCAGAGUAUUCUCGACUCCAACACAACUUGGUGACGUAUUUUUUCUUUUGGGUAAAUGUGGCAUGUACAUAGGUGUUGUGCGAUCACUUGAAUAUGUAUAUUAUUUUGGUUGUGAAGGAUGAAUUAUAAGGUUUAGAUUGUUAAAUGAAAUGGUAGAAAGGUAUAUGAUAUUUUGACACA